This 538-nucleotide ribosomal RNA is filed under the name Phrynobatrachus africanus (African swamp frog). RNAcentral's name for it is "partial 16S ribosomal RNA". It matches the Rfam family "Bacterial large subunit ribosomal RNA", at positions 1829 to 2597 of the family's 2925-position model. The record is from RNAcentral. Lineage: Eukaryota; Metazoa; Chordata; Amphibia; Anura; Phrynobatrachidae.
CGCCUCCUGCUGACCUAUGGGAGGUCCAGCCUGCCCAGUGACAAAGUUUAACGGCCUCGGUACCCUAACCGCGCGAAGGUAGCAUAAUCACUUGUUCUUUAAAUAGGGACUCGUAUCAACGGCAUCACGAGGGCUAGACUGUCUCCCCUCCCUAAUCAGUGAACCUGACCUCUUCGUGAAAAGGCGAAGAUACUCAUAUAAGACGAGAAGACCCCAUGGAGCUUAAAACUAAGUAACACUCUCUUACAUAUAUCCCUUAAAAAACAAGAGAACUGCCACCUAUUUUUUGGCUGGGGCAUCCAGGGAGCAUAACACAACCUCCUUGACGAACCAUCUUAGAACUACUAUUCCAAGAAGCAGCAAACUGAAGUAAUAUGACCCGAUAAUCGAUCAACGAACCAAGUUACCCUGGGGAUAACAGCGCAAUCCAUUUCAAGAGCCCUUAUCGACAAAUGGGUUUACGACCUCGAUGUUGGAUCAGGGUACCCCAGUGGUGCAGCCGCUACUAAAGGUUCGUUUGUUCAACGAUUAAAACCCU